GCAAACUUGGUCAUUUAGAGGAAGUAAAAGUCGUAACAAGGUUUCCGUAGGUGAACCUGCGGAAGGAUCAUUAAUGAAUUUAAUGUGGAGUUGGUUGUAGCUGGUCCAUUUGGUUUUUUUAAAUAAUUUCCUUUGGGCAUGUGCACACCUUCUCUUUCAUCCACACACACCUGUGCACUUGUGAGGCAGAUGUGAGGACUUUAUUGUACUCCUCUGUCUACUUAAUUGACACACACUCUAUUUAUUUUAAAAUGAAUGUAAUUGAUGUAACGCAUCUAAUACUAAGUUUCAACAACGGAUCUCUUGGCUCUCGCAUCGAUGAAGAACGCAGC
This 332-nucleotide unclassified non-coding RNA is filed under the name uncultured fungus. RNAcentral's name for it is "partial contains small subunit ribosomal RNA, internal transcribed spacer 1, and 5.8S ribosomal RNA". The stretch from base 1 to 73 matches the Rfam family "Eukaryotic small subunit ribosomal RNA", at positions 1759 to 1831 of the family's 1831-position model. Lineage: Eukaryota; Fungi. The record is from RNAcentral.